UGGUGGAGUGAUUUGUCUGGUUAAUUCCGUUAACGAACGAGACCUCGACCUGCUAAAUAGUUCGCGCCAGACUUCGGUCUGGUGACAUUCACGUGACUUCUUAGAGGGACUAUCGGUGUGUAGCCGAUGGAAGUUCGAGGCAAUAACA
Molecule: ribosomal RNA, 148 nt
Filed under: uncultured eukaryote
Lineage: Eukaryota
Description: partial 18S ribosomal RNA
Rfam family: Eukaryotic small subunit ribosomal RNA
Source: RNAcentral